AUUCCAUGAUGAGAACACCUCUGUAGAAGGUCCUUGAAUCUCUCCCAUGCGUCCAAAUGCACUUCAUCCUCAUUUUGUCGAAAUUUCAUAAUUUCAUUUCUAAUUUC
Molecule: small nucleolar RNA, 107 nt
Organism: Cynara cardunculus var. scolymus (artichoke)
Lineage: Eukaryota; Viridiplantae; Streptophyta; Magnoliopsida; Asterales; Asteraceae
Source: RefSeq, a predicted model, not a curated record